UUAAGCGACCAAGCGUACACGGUGGAUGCCCUGGCAGUCAGAGGCGAUGAAGGACGUGCUAAUCUGCGAUAAGCGCCGGUAAGGUGAUAUGAACCGUUAUAACCGGCGAUUUCCGAAUGGGGAAACCCAGUGUGAUUCGUCACACUAUCAUUAACUGAAUCCAUAGGUUAAUGAGGCGAACCGGGGGAACUGAAACAUCUAAGUACCCCGAGGAAAAGAAAUCAACCGAGAUUCCCCCAGUAGCGGCGAGCGAACGGGGAGGAGCCCAGAGCCUGAAUCAGCAUGUGUGUUAGUGGAAGCGUCUGGAAAGGCGCGCGAUACAGGGUGACAGCCCCGUACACAAAAGCGCAUGUGCUGUGAGCUCGAUGAGUAGGGCGGGACACGUGGUAUCCUGUCUGAAUAUGGGGGGACCAUCCUCCAAGGCUAAAUACUCCUGACUGACCGAUAGUGAACCAGUACCGUGAGGGAAAGGCGAAAAGAACCCCGGCGAGGGGAGUGAAACAGAACCUGAAACCGUGUACGUACAAGCAGUGGGAGCACAGGUUUACCUGUGUGACUGCGUACCUUUUGUAUAAUGGGUCAGCGACUUAUAUUCUGUAGCAAGGUUAACCGCAUAGGGGAGCCGAAGGGAAACCGAGUCUUAAUUGGGCGUUAAGUUGCAGGGUAUAGACCCGAAACCCGGUGAUCUAGCCAUGGGCAGGUUGAAGGUUGGGUAACACUAACUGGAGGACCGAACCGACUAAUGUUGAAAAAUUAGCGGAUGACCUGUGGCUGGGGGUGAAAGGCCAAUCAAACCGGGAGAUAGCUGGUUCUCCCCGAAAGCUAUUUAGGUAGCGCCUCGUGAACUCAUCUCCGGGGGUAGAGCACUGUUUCGGCUAGGGGGCCAUCCCGGCUUACCAACCCGAUGCAAACUGCGAAUACCGGAGAAUGUUAUCACGGGAGACACACGGCGGGUGCUAACGUCCGUCGUGAAGAGGGAAACAACCCAGACCGCCAGCUAAGGUCCCAAAGUCAUGGUUAAGUGGGAAACGAUGUGGGAAGGCCCAGACAGCCAGGAUGUUGGCUUAGAAGCAGCCAUCAUUUAAAGAAAGCGUAAUAGCUCACUGGUCGAGUCGGCCUGCGCGGAAGAUGUAACGGGGCUAAACCAUGCACCGAAGCUGCGGCAGCGACACUGUGUGUUGUUGGGUAGGGGAGCGUUCUGUAAGCCGUUGAAGGUGUGUCGUGAGGCAUGCUGGAGGUAUCAGAAGUGCGAAUGCUGACAUAAGUAACGAUAAAGCGGGUGAAAAGCCCGCUCGCCGGAAGACCAAGGGUUCCUGUCCAACGUUAAUCGGGGCAGGGUGAGUCGACCCCUAAGGCGAGGCCGAAAGGCGUAGUCGAUGGGAAACGGGUUAAUAUUCCCGUACUUGGUGUUACUGCGAAGGGGGGACGGAGAAGGCUAUGUUGGCCGGGCGACGGUUGUCCCGGUUUAAGCGUGUAGGUGUGUGUUCCAGGUAAAUCCGGUUCACUUUAACACUGAGGCGUGACGACGAGGCACUACGGUGCUGAAGCAACAAAUGCCCUGCUUCCAGGAAAAGCCUCUAAGCAUCAGGUAACAUCAAAUCGUACCCCAAACCGACACAGGUGGUCAGGUAGAGAAUACCAAGGCGCUUGAGAGAACUCGGGUGAAGGAACUAGGCAAAAUGGUGCCGUAACUUCGGGAGAAGGCACGCUGACACGUAGGUGAAGUGGUUUACCCAUGGAGCUGAAGUCAGUCGAAGAUACCAGCUGGCUGCAACUGUUUAUUAAAAACACAGCACUGUGCAAACACGAAAGUGGACGUAUACGGUGUGACGCCUGCCCGGUGCCGGAAGGUUAAUUGAUGGGGUCAGCGCAAGCGAAGCUCCUGAUCGAAGCCCCGGUAAACGGCGGCCGUAACUAUAACGGUCCUAAGGUAGCGAAAUUCCUUGUCGGGUAAGUUCCGACCUGCACGAAUGGCGUAAUGAUGGCCAGGCUGUCUCCACCCGAGACUCAGUGAAAUUGAACUCGCUGUGAAGAUGCAGUGUACCCGCGGCAAGACGGAAAGACCCCGUGAACCUUUACUAUAGCUUGACACUGAACAUUGAGCCUUGAUGUGUAGGAUAGGUGGGAGGCUUUGAAGCGUGGACGCCAGUCUGCGUGGAGCCAACCUUGAAAUACCACCCUUUAAUGUUUGAUGUUCUAACGUGGACCCGUGAUCCGGGUUGCGGACAGUGUCUGGUGGGUAGUUUGACUGGGGCGGUCUCCUCCUAAAGAGUAACGGAGGAGCACGAAGGUUGGCUAAUCCUGGUCGGACAUCAGGAGGUUAGUGCAAUGGCAUAAGCCAGCUUGACUGCGAGCGUGACGGCGCGAGCAGGUGCGAAAGCAGGUCAUAGUGAUCCGGUGGUUCUGAAUGGAAGGGCCAUCGCUCAACGGAUAAAAGGUACUCCGGGGAUAACAGGCUGAUACCGCCCAAGAGUUCAUAUCGACGGCGGUGUUUGGCACCUCGAUGUCGGCUCAUCACAUCCUGGGGCUGAAGUAGGUCCCAAGGGUAUGGCUGUUCGCCAUUUAAAGUGGUACGCGAGCUGGGUUUAGAACGUCGUGAGACAGUUCGGUCCCUAUCUGCCGUGGGCGCUGGAGAACUGAGGGGGGCUGCUCCUAGUACGAGAGGACCGGAGUGGACGCAUCACUGGUGUUCGGGUUGUCAUGCCAAUGGCACUGCCCGGUAGCUAAAUGCGGAAGAGAUAAGUGCUGAAAGCAUCUAAGCACGAAACUUGCCCCGAGAUGAGUUCUCCCUGAGACUUAGAGUCUCCUGAAGGAACGUUGAAGACGACGACGUUGAUAGGCCGGGUGUGUAAGCGCAGCGAUGCGUUGAGCUAACCGGUACUAAUGAACCGUGAGGCUUAACCUU
This 2905-nucleotide ribosomal RNA is filed under the name Salmonella enterica. RNAcentral describes it as "bacterial LSU rRNA". It matches the Rfam family "Bacterial large subunit ribosomal RNA". RNAcentral also lists the same sequence under 1 other name. Lineage: Bacteria; Pseudomonadati; Pseudomonadota; Gammaproteobacteria; Enterobacterales; Enterobacteriaceae. The record is from RNAcentral.